UACGGAGGAUCCGAGCGUUAUCCGGAUUUAUUGGGUUUAAAGGGUGCGCAGGCGGAAGAUUAAGUCGGUGGUGAAAUUUUGCAGCUCAACUGUAAAAGGUGCCAUUGAUACUGGUUUUCUUGAGUGUGGAUGAAGUAGGCGGAAUUUGUGGUGUAGCGGUGAAAUGCAUAGAUAUCACGAGGAACUCCGAUUGCGCAGGCAGCUUACUAAACCAUAACUGACGCUCAGGCACGAAGGCGUGGGGAUCAAACAGGAUUAGAUACCCG
This 266-nucleotide ribosomal RNA is filed under the name uncultured prokaryote. RNAcentral describes it as "partial 16S ribosomal RNA". It matches the Rfam family "Bacterial small subunit ribosomal RNA", at positions 524 to 788 of the family's 1533-position model. The record is from RNAcentral.